ACCAUAAAAUUCUUGGGUGUGGAUCUCUUCCCACUACAAGAAAAAAAAAUUUUACGAUAAAUUUAUUAACAACGAAAAUAUUUUCAUCGUCAAUAAGUCUAUUUACGAUGAAAAAUUAAAUUCGUCGCUAAUAAUAAAUUAUUUAUGAUGAAAAUUAGUUUUCAUCACAAAUAGCUUCAUAUUUGCAAUAAAAAAAAAGCAUCUAAAUACCUAUUAUUUACA
Molecule: long non-coding RNA, 222 nt
Filed under: Elaeis guineensis (African oil palm)
Lineage: Eukaryota; Viridiplantae; Streptophyta; Magnoliopsida; Arecales; Arecaceae
Description: long non-coding RNA (EGUI_LNC024049)
Source: RNAcentral